This 625-nucleotide unclassified non-coding RNA is filed under the name Hevea brasiliensis (rubber tree). The record is from RNAcentral. Lineage: Eukaryota; Viridiplantae; Streptophyta; Magnoliopsida; Malpighiales; Euphorbiaceae.
GCAAUUUCAAUAAUCAUUCCAUCAAGGCAUUCAGCCUCUGCCAAACUUGGAAGCAACUAUCAGAAUAUUAUCCCUUUGAGUUGGUCUUCUCUGGAAUUAACAGUUAGGAGUUGACAGAUCUUUCAAGUCUUUUGGAUUAAGCAAUUUGACAUGCUUAUGUUUCAGACUUCAGGUUGAAUCAUCAUAGGAAAUUCCUGCAUUCUAAAGGUAUAAUUUAUGUCAGAAGUUGCACAGCACCAUGAGAACAAUGAUACUCCUAAUUUCUAGUUAUAAGCUUGUCGAUCCAGCCAAAAUAAGCCACUAAAUUGCACUUAAAAUUUGUUGUAGCCUUAUUGUUUUCAUGUAUAUAUAUGUCACCAAUAGUCUCCACGUGCACAGAUACCAUUCUUGAAGUAAUGAAAUCGCUUUGCAUCUCUUACCACAACUUCUCAAUCAACAAUCUUGCAAAUAAGCUUAAUGACCGUAUGACAGUCACCACAAACCCUAAGAUUUUUAAUGACAUGAAUUGUUGAUCCCGGAAAUGAAUUAAUGACCCAAAAGGCAACAUCGUAACUUCUCACUGUGAACUUGCAGAGCCAUUUCCUUUUCUUCCUCAUCAACACCAUAUUAGGUGCAUAGCCAGCUU